Molecule: long non-coding RNA, 1488 nt
Filed under: Mus spicilegus (steppe mouse)
Lineage: Eukaryota; Metazoa; Chordata; Mammalia; Rodentia; Muridae
Description: lncRNA (ENSMSIG00000000894.1)
Source: RNAcentral
CAAGUAAUACAUGCAGAAGAUGGAUUCAGGGAAGGUGCCAGGCUCCCUUAGCAUUUCCACUGUCCUGGCAGUGACUCCCUUCUAUGAAUCUAGCUUCAUCCCUUAUGAGGGCAAUGUCCCCAAGACAUGAUGGCUGUCUGUCAGUAUCACCACUUUGAGUACCAACAUAUGAUACUUUGGAGGACAUGCUCAAAUCACAUCCAAACCAUAGUGUCCAUGCUCAAAAUCUGCAAAAUAGAAAUGGAUAUUCAUGGCAUGGGAAUUUAAUGGCUUACGCAAAGCUGCAUACUGGGAGCAGGGUUCAGCAGUUAUGUAAGGCCAUUUAAAUGAAAAUAAUUAAAAUGGGAACUCUGGUUCCUCUGCCUUGCUGGUCACAGUUCAAGUGCUCAAUGGGGAUGUGUGAGCAGUGGCUGCCAUAUUGGACAGCAUGGAUAUAUGGCAUUUUUGUCAAUAAAAUAUGUCUUAUUAGACAGUUUGGUUCUGGAGACUCAUAAUUUCUUCCUUCCCAAAUGCAUAAUUGUCCCCUAUAAUUGUCAUAAACAGCAGAAAAGGCACAUUUCCAGAUAAUGCAGAAACAACCUCUGAGCAUUCUGUCUUCUUCACUCCAGAGUGAAGAGCAUGCUUACCCAAAUUCUCUAGCCUUAGGGCUUUUCUCUGAGCAUCUCUCCUAUGACACGGAAUGACUGAAGUAUGCUUUAGCAAUGUGCUUACUUUGACUUCUGCGUGCAACUUUUUCUUUACAGCUAAUAUUGAUCUAGCAGUGAAUUCCUUACAAAACCCAUACAGCUCCUCGAGGAAAAAUUGGCUGAGGUGCUAUAAAGUCACAGAUGUCUCAGGGAUUUAAAUUAAUACUGUAAAUCUCAGGAUUAUGGGGAAAGAGCUUGGGGCUUGUCUAAUAGCCUCCAACCUGACUAUGGCGUUUGCCUGACUACCAUGAGAGCUUGCAGGGAGUCCCUGCAACUUCCAGGAAGAAGACUGUGUAUUCCAGUAGCAUUUCAACAAAACAACAGGAGCAGCAGCAGCAGCAGUAACUGCAACAACAACAACAACAACAACAACAACGAAUUGAAAAUCAAGCCAAGAACACCACAAGAAGAGCCACAGAGUCAAGAACCUGGGACCAUGAAUGGGGGCUCACAGAGCUUGGGCCACCAACCAGGGAGCACACAAUAGCUAGAAAUAGAUGCUCUAUACAUUUGUAGCAAACAUACAGUUUGCCUUUUAGGUGGAGCCCCUAACAAAUGGAGCAGAGGUUGUCUUUAUCCCUGUUCCCUGCCAUUGGAUGCCCUUCCCCUGACCUAGGCUGCCUGGUUGGGCCUCAGUGGGAGAGGGUGCCUAUUGCUUCUGGGACUAGAUGCCCCAGGGUGGGGUGGUACCCAAGGGGAGCUUCGGAGGAGGGACUUUUAAGGGUGGGCCUGGGAAGACCAGAGGGAAGGUAGCUGUGAUUGGGAUGUAAAGUGAAUAAAUAAAAAAUAAAAAUAAAAAACA